CAACUUUCAACAACGGAUCUCUUGGCUCUCGCAUCGAUGAACAACGCAGCGAAAUGCGAUACGUAAUGUGAAUUGCAGAAUUCAGUGAAUCAUCGAAUCUUUGAACGCACCUUGCGCCCCUUGGUAUUCCGAGGGGCACACCCGUUUGAGUGUCGUGA
This 158-nucleotide ribosomal RNA is filed under the name Lactarius semisanguifluus. RNAcentral's name for it is "5.8S ribosomal RNA". It matches the Rfam family "5.8S ribosomal RNA". From Rfam's summary of the family: 5.8S ribosomal RNA (5.8S rRNA) is a component of the large subunit of the eukaryotic ribosome. The record is from RNAcentral. Lineage: Eukaryota; Fungi; Basidiomycota; Agaricomycetes; Russulales; Russulaceae.